RNAcentral lists this transfer RNA (73 nucleotides) under Camelus bactrianus (Bactrian camel). It matches the Rfam family "tRNA". From Rfam's summary of the family: Transfer RNA (tRNA) molecules are approximately 80 nucleotides in length. Their secondary structure includes four short double-helical elements and three loops (D, anti-codon, and T loops). The record is from Rfam by way of RNAcentral. RNAcentral also lists the same sequence under 2 other names. Lineage: Eukaryota; Metazoa; Chordata; Mammalia; Artiodactyla; Camelidae.
GGGGGUAAAGGUCAAGAGGUAGAGCAUAUGCUUAGUAUGCAUGAGAUCCUGGGUUCAAUCCCCAGCACCUCCU